This 390-nucleotide ribosomal RNA is filed under the name uncultured marine eukaryote. RNAcentral's name for it is "SSU rRNA". It matches the Rfam family "Eukaryotic small subunit ribosomal RNA", at positions 617 to 1007 of the family's 1831-position model. The record is from RNAcentral.
GGUUAAAAAGCUCGUAGUUGGAUUUCGGCGAUCAGGGGCCGGUGAUAUAUUUGUAUCUACUGGCCCAUUUGGUCGUAUUUUUGAAAGAGGGUUUGGGGUCCCCUUCACUGGGUGUCCUAGGUCGCUUUCAGGUUUACUUUGAAAAAAUUAGAGUGCUCAAAGCAGGCUUUAACGCUUGAAUAUUCGUGCAUGGAAUAAUAGAAUAGGAAGUUCGUCUCUAUUUUGUUGGUUUUAGGAUAACGACUUAAUGAUUAAUAGGGACAAUCGGGGGAAUUAGUAUUCAAACGACAGAGGUGAAAUUCUUGGACCGUUUGAAGACUAACUACUGCGAAAGCAUUUUCCAGGAGUGUUUUCAUUAAUCUAGAACGAAAGUUAGAGGUUCGAAGGCGA